CACUGCCGAGAAAAGCCUCUAGAUAGAAAAUAGGUGCCCGUACCGCAAACCGACACAGGUAGUCAAGAUGAGAAUUCUAAGGUGAGCGAGCGAACUCUCGUUAAGGAACUCGGCAAAAUGACCCCGUAACUUCGGGAGAAGGGGUGCUCUUUAGGGUUAACGCCCAGAAGAGCCGCAGUGAAUAGGCCCAAGCGACUGUUUAUCAAAAACACAGGUCUCUGCUAAACCGUAAGGUGAUGUAUAGGGGCUGACGCCUGCCCGGUGCUGGAAGGUUAAGAGGAGUGGUUAGCUUCUGCGAAGCUACGAAUCGAAGCCCCAGUAAACGGCGGCCGUAACUAUAACGGUCCUAAGGUAGCGAAAUUCCUUGUCGGGUAAGUUCCGACCCGCACGAAAGGCGUAACGAUUUGGGCACUGUCUCAACGAGAGACUCGGUGAAAUCAUAGUACCUGUGAAGAUGCAGGUUACCCGCGACAGGACGGAAAGACCCCGUGGAGCUUUACUGUAGCCUGAUAUUGAAAUUCGGCACAGCUUGUACAGGAUAGGUAGGAGCCUUUGAAACGUGAGCGCUAGCUUACGUGGAGGCGCUGGUGG
Molecule: ribosomal RNA, 591 nt
Filed under: Staphylococcus aureus
Lineage: Bacteria; Bacillati; Bacillota; Bacilli; Caryophanales; Staphylococcaceae
Description: partial 23S ribosomal RNA
Rfam family: Bacterial large subunit ribosomal RNA
Source: RNAcentral